AACGAACGCUGGCGGCAUGCCUAACACAUGCAAGUCGAACGAGACCUUCGGGUCUAGUGGCGCACGGGUGCGUAACGCGUGGGAACCUGCCCUUAGGUUCGGCAUAACUCCCCGAAAGGGGUGCUAAUACCGGAUAAUGUCUUCGGACCAAAGAUUUAUCGCCUUUGGAUGGGCCCGCGUUGGAUUAGCUAGUUGGUAGGGUAAAAGCCUACCAAGGCGACGAUCCAUAGCUGGUCUGAGAGGAUGAUCAGCCACACUGGGACUGAGACACGGCCCAGAAUCCUACGGGAGGCAGGAGUGGGGAAUAGUGGACAAUGGGCGAAAGGCUGAUCCAGCAAUGACGGGUGAGGGAUGAAGGCCUUAGGGUUGUAAAGCUCUUUUACCCGGGAUGAUAAUGACAGUACCGGGAGAAUAAGCUCCGGCUAGCUCCGUG
RNAcentral lists this ribosomal RNA (433 nucleotides) under uncultured bacterium. Its description in RNAcentral is "partial 16S ribosomal RNA". It matches the Rfam family "Bacterial small subunit ribosomal RNA", at positions 29 to 507 of the family's 1533-position model. The record is from RNAcentral.